AGCGAACGCUGGCGGCGUGCUUAACACAUGCAAGUCGAGGGAGAACGGUUGGCUUCGGCCUUCCUAGUAAACCGGCGCACGGGUGAGUAACACGUAGGUAACCUACCUUCGAGACUGGGAUAACCCAUCGAAAGAUGAGCUAAUACCAGAUAUGACCACGGGAGUUUCGGCUUCCGCGGUGAAAGAUGGCCUCUGCUUGCAAGCUAUUACUCGAGGAUGGGCCUGCGCGCCAUUAGCUAGUUGGUGGGGUAACGGCCCACCAAGGCUACGAUGGCUAGUUGGUCUGAGAGGAUGACCAGCCACACUGGGACUGAGACACGGCCCAGACUCCUACGGGAGGCAGCAGU
This 347-nucleotide ribosomal RNA is filed under the name uncultured bacterium. RNAcentral's name for it is "bacterial SSU rRNA". It matches the Rfam family "Bacterial small subunit ribosomal RNA", at positions 29 to 355 of the family's 1533-position model. The record is from RNAcentral.